CGCACACCGCCCGUCGCUUCAUCGAAGUUGGCUUUAGGCGAGGUGGUGCCAUGUUGGCACUAUCGAACCUGAGGUCAGCAACGAGGGAG
RNAcentral lists this ribosomal RNA (89 nucleotides) under uncultured bacterium. RNAcentral describes it as "partial 16S ribosomal RNA". The record is from RNAcentral.